Molecule: long non-coding RNA, 1892 nt
Organism: Alligator sinensis (Chinese alligator)
Lineage: Eukaryota; Metazoa; Chordata; Crocodylia; Alligatoridae
Exons: 3
Source: RefSeq, a predicted model, not a curated record
ACCGCGGCUGUCACGGCAUAUUAAAAAGUGCCUGCUUGCAACCAGGAGAACAAUGCCGCUAGGUGGGAGAAAGCUGAAAGGCCCAGCCUGGCACGCUGACUCGCUUCUGAGGAAAUGGAGCUGCUCCGUCAGCCCUGCGUCGCGGUGCCUCGUGCUCGCUGGAUGGGAAACCUGCAGCCGUCGUGGGACUUUGUGAGGCCAGGCUCUGCACCUGACCCACGGCGCUGUUCCUGCUCCCUUGCCCACCCUCCUGGGAGAUGGAUGGAAAAGGGAAGAGGCUGGAUAUCCUGAAAUGAAGCCAAAUCCUGGACAGACAAUGGCACCACAAGUGCCCGCAGGGGAAGGGAGACGAGCAUUGCAAGCUACAGCUCAAAACAACCCAAAACUGCUCCACAGGCUCCUGGCUGUCUUGGCAGGUGUCUGGGCCCCUGACAAGCUGGGGCUGAGUUGUGUAGGUGAGUGAAUUGUGCUCGUGUUUUCCAUCAAAGUCAGGCGGAUGAGGCGCUGGGUGAUUACUAACAGCUCAGGGAAGCCAAGGACUCUUUUUCCGAGACACAGUCACAGUACUGUCCAAAAAAAAAAAAAAAAAUUACUAAUGCUUCCGAAUCCUCUCCUUCCAGCCGAGAGGAGAGGGUCUGACAUUGCUAGGCUGAUUCAUGAAAAUCACUCUGAGCCCUUGUAUUGAUAGUUUCAGCUCUCUGUAUCCACAGGAGCCGUGCCCUUAUCCCUGAACUCCGUUAUUUCACUUGUUCUCUCUCUAGAUGCACUAAAUAAAGCCUACUUGAUGUGCUGGGCUUGAGGAUCUCUGGCACAGCUCAGUGUGCCCUCAUGGCCUGCCCAUGCAAAUAUGAUGUUCUGCUCUCCCAUGCCCUCGGUUUGCUCAACGCCUGCAGCAUUGCAAGACGGUUUGGCUGGCCCGGUAGACGGGAGACCUUCCAGUCUGCAGGGCUGAGCCAUGCCUCUGGGGCAGCCUCUCACGUCCUCGCUCCCAGGGCAAUUCAAGUCACCAUAGCGUGCAUCACCAUUCGUGCAGGCUCCCGUUGCAGCUGAAUGCAGUCCUGUUGAAGGAACCAGGGACCAGGGAGCCUUUCCCCUGACUUUAGAGAGAUUCAAAUUGAGGUUUCUAGCCUAAGCUUACCCAAAUGAUGGACUACAUCUUGAGGCCCUAAGCCACAAGACCUCCCCAGACAGACAUCAGGACUUAUUGCUCCUAAAAGCCCAAGCAACCACCCACGAUUGCCUGGGCCCCACCGGCAAUAGCUGUGCCGAAGCUUGGAUCUGCUGUCAUCAUCAGCUGUAUGGGGGCAGGGGGCGGAGGAUCUCGUAUCCUCCGAGCUGGCUGCGGCUUCACAUUUUUGACUUUGAGAGUGCAGAAUAAACUCGCCUCUUCCCUAUAGACCCCUUCCUCCCUCUGCCUGAUUACCGCCAGGAGAGAGCAGAAGCAUAUGAUGGAUACGCUGAAAAACAUGAGUCCAGGGUCAUGGCUUUGUAUAUAAAGAGUAAAUGAUGCUAAGCGCGGAGCCCCAUCUCCCUGGCUUGCUCGUGGGAUGCACAAGCACACGCACUUCCUUUUGGCCUUGAACCCAGCUGUAAAUGAGAGACCUCCCAGAGGGAGCUGGCAGCACGCUCCUCCCUGCUCAGCCCCGGGGGUGGGAGACGGUCUUGGUGCAGAAAGCCACCAGCAGAGAACAACUUUGAGGCUAUAAAGAUGUUUGCUCCUUGCACUGUAUUUCCUCCUUUUAUGUUGCCAGUUGGCAAACAGCUCUCUGAUGUCUUAUUCUGAAGGGCUCCGUGCGGAAAACUUUUCCAACUCCGAACAAAUGUUGCCGCAUAAAUAAAUGAUGGAGGAGGCGGUGGGGGAAAGCCCUGAAAGCCUUGGAAAAUAAAAGUGC